ACUCACCCCAUGUUUACAUUUUUGUUUAGUUUGAAGCAUCUGUGGAAAUUUUGUUCAAUACAAAAGUCAGCAUACACUGUGGCUCACCACUGAUAUAUCGGCCAUUUUUUACCCAUGUUUACCUUAUCUGUCCAUAUCGGUAUCGGCCAUUCUCAUAUCGGCUUUUGCCGAUAUUUGUCCAAAAUGCGCCAUCUCAUGUUAAUUCCAACAUUUAGCAGGUUCAAAUUUACUGUGACUAAAAAUAUUAGUCCUAAAGUUAAUUUCAAUAGUGUUUGCUCAACAACUACGAUAGCACUGGCUUACCGCGGGUCUGUUGGCAAGGUAAACAAAACCAGCAACAACGCAUGGAAACAUGGGAUGGUGAAGGAAAAAAUUAAUUCAUGGACACUGAAGAAAUGGAGCAGACUUCUGGACAAAAAAGUGGACCGAAGAGUGUUGUUUGGGAGCAUUUUACAGAACAACCACCAGGAACUGCACUCUGCAAAGAAUGCAACAACUCUGUCAAACUUGGCUCUGAAACAUCUAAAACUAAAAACACCUCACACAUGUGGUCUCAUCUAAAAGUUAAUCACGCUGAUCUCUACAAGGCAGCACAGGAAAAACAAAAGAGGUCAUCUGCCACUAAAACUGCCGUUCAGCCCACUCUUGUACAGUUAUAUGACCAUCAAAUAAAACAACAUUUAAAUGGA
Long non-coding RNA from Conger conger (European conger), 689 nucleotides. RefSeq lists it as uncharacterized. The record is from RefSeq and is a predicted model, not a curated record. The transcript is spliced from 2 exons. NCBI's taxonomy places the organism in Eukaryota, Metazoa, Chordata, Actinopteri, Anguilliformes, Congridae.